This 374-nucleotide ribosomal RNA is filed under the name uncultured organism. RNAcentral describes it as "bacterial SSU rRNA". It matches the Rfam family "Bacterial small subunit ribosomal RNA", at positions 527 to 896 of the family's 1533-position model. The record is from RNAcentral.
GUAGGGGGCGAGCGUUGUCCGGAUUUAUUGGGCGUAAGGCGCGCGUAGGCGGUUCGUUAAGUCGGGUGUGAAAACCCGGGGCUCAACCCCGGGCCUGCAUCCGAUACUGGCGGACUCGAGGCAGGGCAGGGGAGAGUGGAAUUCCCGGUGUAGCGGUGAAAUGCGCAGAUAUCGGGAGGAACACCGGUGGCGAAGGCGGCUCUCUGGGCCUGUCCUGACGCUCAGGCGCGAAAGCUAGGGGAGCAAACAGGAUUAGAUACCCUGGUAGUCCUAGCCGUAAACGUUGGGUGCUAGGUGUGGGGCGGCGUUCGACCCGCUCCGUGCCGAAGCUAACGCAUUAAGCACCCCGCCUGGGGAGUACGGCCGCAAGGCUA